UGCAGGUAUGUUUUACUUCUUCCUGUCUUUGAGCCUGGGAAACUUGCAUCACCCGAUCAUCUUUGAUCAAUCAAAGAUUGUGAUAACAUGACUAAACAUUUUAUUACUGAAAGUUGUCAAGAAAGAAUUUAAGACAGUUUGUAAGUCAAAAUAAAACAAUUUAUUAUACAUAAAACAGUGUAUCUAGAAAACUGUAAAAUCAACAACAUGAAUGGAUUUUUUUUUGUGAAGAUAAGUAAAAUUACAUAUAACUAAACUAAAAAUCUCAUAUACAAGACUUAACAUACUGUUAUAACAUCUAAAUGUAUGUACAAUAUAAAACAAUUACAAGUAUGUACAAUAAUGGAAAGUUCUUUUAAGGCCAUGCUCAAUCUAUAUAGCUAGAGAACAGACUUCUAUAACUUAUUAUGAUCUGAUUAGGUUAGAAAAUAUUUGUUAACAUAGUUAUCUGCCUGGCAUUAUAGAAUGAAGCUGUCCUCAUAAAGAAUCAAUAUGGUCUUUAAAAGCCUUCCCAAUACAAUAGUAACAUUCCAGUAUACAGAAGUUUAAAAAAAAUCAUUAUAUAUUUCCUGAAAAUUAGGAGAUAACCGUAUUGUAUUUUAAGAACCA
Molecule: long non-coding RNA, 609 nt
Filed under: Mytilus galloprovincialis (Mediterranean mussel)
Lineage: Eukaryota; Metazoa; Mollusca; Bivalvia; Mytilida; Mytilidae
Source: RNAcentral